AUUAUGAGAGCAAAACACUAGUCCGGCUUAUCUAGAGAUGAUGAGCAGUUCAUCACUAUCGGUGUCGCGUACGAUCCAACGGUGAUGGAGAGUUCAUCACCACUUGUCCAGUGCACUUUCUAACGGCGAUGAAGAGCUCAUCACCGUCGGUGUAGCGCUUCAUUCGGCGAGGAUGAGAACCUCAUCACCACCGGUUUACUAUGUCACCAAUAAUGGUCUAUAUUGGGACAAAAGUGAUAAUGUAGUAUUAGAAUAUUAAUAUAAAUAUAUCAUAAUAAUGAAAUAAUGAAUAACAUCAGUAAUUUGAUCACAUCAAGUCCAAAAUCUCCACAAUGCAUCAAAAUAUAGAUCAAGUUGGAGCCGCAAGUCCAUACAUGAAAUCUAACAAGUUCAUACAAGCGAGUAGGCAGCCGGUGUGGCAUAGUGGUGAUGUUGCUGCGAUGUGGGUGAGCAUCGGGGGUGUUGGGUGUGGUGAUGUUGCUGAGACAAACAAUUUGCAUGUGUAAAGAUGAUGUGGUUUUGCUGAAAGCUAAAUUUAUUGAGCUUGCUCUAAAAGUGUGAUCUUUUAAAUUAGGAUGCACAAGACCCUUGCUAGGAAUCUUUGGGCUACAGGUGGUCGGUGCUACAUAGUGUGUGAAGUGCCACUGUCGGCGUUUGAUGACCAACAACUUGUCACGGGGUUACCUGGGACAGAGUUUGGUGGACUUUGGCAUAUGCAGAACUCGGUGGUAAACGCAAAGAUAACGAUUUAUAUCGGUUCAGACCGCUUGUAUAGCAUAAUACCUUACGUCCAGUUUGGCGUGAUGCCUUUGCGUUGGAUUGUAUGAUUGAUUGGAUUAUAAGGGGUGCCAUCUGCCACUCUUUAUAUAGCCCAGAGGGCAGGGCAGUUGUUCUUAUCCUGGUCGGUUACAAUUGGAGAGUCGUAGUUCUAUUAUAGAGACUAUUUUUCCUAAAUGGCCGACUAGGUCAGCCCUUGAAUACUUGGAGAUCACGCCACCUUGUUCAGUGUCUUCAAGUAGACCUUGAGCCGACCCAGACCUAUGGCGGGUAGUCGGUCUAGUGGGGAACCCUUAGGAUCCUGGUUCGUUAGCCGCAUGCCACGGUUCUACGUUUAAGCCUUUACACGAUCGACUCUCUCGCGUACUCCCUACAUCCUAAAAUAACUAUCGCUAUGAUAUUAGUGUCGAUGAAACUUUCUUAAGUCUGACUAGGUUUAUAGAAAACAUUAGCAGUAUUUGUAUCUCCAAAUAAAUUUAUUAUGGAAUUAGAUUCAACAAUCUACCUAAUGAUAUUAAUUAUGUACUAUAAAUAUUAAUAUUUUCUUAUAUAUAUUUAGUUAAAGUUAAAAAUAUUUAAUUGUCGAGAAGCAAGAAUGACACUUAUUUUGGAACAAGGGGAGUACGCGAUUUCAAUUCUAUCCACAUUUCUUUCUAAGUUGACUAGUUUGAGCGACUAUGUUUAAUUGAGGUUAUAAAACCUUCUUCUCUGUUACUUGUGGAUUUGAUAUUUGAACUUUAAAAUGCUCUAUAGAGAAACAGUGCCACAAUGUCACUAUACAUUUCAGUCUUAGGCCUUGUUUAGUUCACCCUGAAAACCAAAAAGUUUUCAAGAUUCCCCGUCACAUCGAAUCUUGUGGCACAUGCAUGAAACAUUAAAUAUAAACAAAAACAAAAACUAAUUACACAGUUUAGCUGUAAAUCACGAGACGAAUCUUUUGAUCCUAGUUAGUCCAUGAUUGGAUAAUAUUUGUCAAAAAAAACGAAAGUGCUACGGUACCGAAAAAUUUUCACUUUUCGGAACUAAACAAGGCCUUAGGGUACUCCCAACCAAGAAACUAGAUGGUUUCUGUCUUUGUCAAUUAAGGUGCCAACUAAGCAAAAAGAUGAUGUCGCACCGCAAUUAAAGAAGAGAGAUGAGGAAAUGGUUUCUUAGAAAAGAAACCAUAUUUACGCGAGAAUCUAGACAUGAAGAGAUGUGUUUGGUAGGAAUAAAGAAAGAAGACAUGUGAUUGGAUAAAAAUUUAUUAUAUAAAAUUAUCAAUUGGAAACAUGUAACAUAGUUUCUACAUGCAGUGUCUAUGUAAAUUAAUAAAUAUAAAAACUACAUGUAAUUUCUAGUACCGGACCGUACCUCGAAGGAGAAGUAUGCAUGUGUCCCUUGCUUGACUUCAAUCACCAAGCUUGCUGGGUGCUUCAACCACCAAGCGGUACCCAGGAUGAGGCCCAACCUCCCUUAGUUCGUCUUCUCUCGAGACUCUUGCGACUUGUUGAAGGACGUAUACAAUGUUAAGUAGACUGGAGUGCUUAUAAGAUGUAAUAUAUGUGACAUCUUUAUUAAGCACUGUUGGUAACCGUUAUAAUGUACUCCCUUUGUUCCUAAAAGCUUUAACUUCUAGAGUUGUCCUAAUUCAAACUUUUAAAACUUUGACCAAAUUUCUAAAAAAAAUACUAAGAUUUAUAGUACUAUUAGAUUUAUCAUAGAAUAUAUUUUCAUAAGAUACUCAUUUUAUAUCUUAGAUAUUGAUGUUUUUUUUCUAUAAAGUUAGUCAAACUUAAAAAAAGUUUGAUUGACACGGAUUCUAUGAGUUGAAGCUUUCAUGAACAGAGGGAGUAAACUAGAGCCUUAAUAUUCUCAACACUAGUACCUUGUUAGCUUAGCACACAUUAAGCACGUAGAAAUUUAAAAUCUCAUCCGCAUGUAACUUGUAAGCACCAACCGCAAAACUGCAAAUGACAUAUAUAGCGAGAUAAAAAAAACUGAUUUCUUACUUAAGCACCUCUAUUAGCAUCUGUGUUCUACAAGCUCUUUACGCAGCGGCGUCGAGUCGGCCGGCUCCGGUCCACGGCGUCGAACCCCUAUAGUCCAAGUUCUGGGCGUCAGGGGAAGACUCCGAUGGAGCGGAGGAGGACGAGGCAAGUCCCGGAUUGGCGACACCAUCGACACCGACCUUCAUCAACGAAGCUUUGGCUGCAGGCUUCACGGUCGAACAGCUAGCAAGGGCGGAGCAAGCACAGGAUUCAGGUAAAAGUUCAUCGCCUACUGCUCAUCAAUUACCUAAUGUAAUUGUGUCAGAGUUGGUUCGGAGAACCAUCGCGAUGUCACCGUGGAAGGGUCCUCUACCCAGCCCUCGAGUUUCCCCGUCGAGGACGCUUGGGGAUUGCCUUGCCAUGGCGAGCAGACGGCAUACAGGUCCUCCUGGUGGAUCGGCCUUGUCAUCGAGACGGCCGAGAUCGUCGGCAAGGCCUAUGCCGAGCAGUGUUUAAAAAAUUUUCAAAUCUCCGGAAAACCAGGACAUCG
Molecule: long non-coding RNA, 3297 nt
Filed under: Sorghum bicolor (sorghum)
Lineage: Eukaryota; Viridiplantae; Streptophyta; Magnoliopsida; Poales; Poaceae
Description: long non-coding RNA (SBIC_LNC005525)
Source: RNAcentral